Long non-coding RNA from Serinus canaria (Common canary), 4402 nucleotides. RefSeq lists it as uncharacterized. The record is from RefSeq and is a predicted model, not a curated record. Lineage: Eukaryota; Metazoa; Chordata; Aves; Passeriformes; Fringillidae. The transcript is spliced from 4 exons.
GAGGUCACGCGCGCUGUUCUCGCCAAUAGGCAGCGGCCGCUGGAGCCCCGUGGGUCUCGCGGGAGCGCGCGGUGGUAUUUAAUGGCCUGCGAGGAGCUACUCGGCCUUUCUGUCUGCCGGCUGUGUGCGCGUGUGUCCCGAGGAAGCGGCGAGUCCUUCAAAUGCUCCCGAUGGGCAGAAGGCCCAGCGCGGCAGGCCUGGGCAGGGGCAGCGCUGGCGGUCUGCGCUCACGCCCUUGGACGCCUAUGGGUGAGGGGCGCACCGAGCUCAACGCUCCUCCUACAGCCUGGGGCUGAGGCCUCACAUAGCAACCUGACGCUUGAAGUGUUUUAGACAUGGGUAAUCACACCUAAAUGUGAAGCAAUGCUCAGGACUUCUUAGGAAUAAAUAAUGCCUUCUACUGGAAGGGAUGAAGACAGCGUGUGCCAGGAACUGACAUUAAACAUCAGUUUAUGAUUUCCUCAGUGGGUGAUUUCUAACUUCAUAUGCGAUGAUUCCAGUUGGCACCUCUAAGCAUUGUCUUGGAAGUAGAAUUGAGAAUGGCUAAAAUGAUGUCUUCAAUGAUCAUCUUGAAACCAGCAUCUCACCAUUUGUUGAAACCUAACAAAAACUGCUCUAAUUUGACUGUGUUUGUGGGUUAAUUGAAAUAAAUUAUGAGUAUUAUAAAAAAUGAGAUAAUGCUACCGAAAGAUUGUAUUAUGCAAGUUUUUUGUGAAGGUACUUUCUGUACGAAGACUUUUUCAUAAAUGUAAACACUUUUGUGCUGUCACACAGAAACAUUCUCUUGCCAUAUCCAGACUUAAUAAGCUUAAUCUUCAAUUUACAAAUCCAAUGAAAAGGCCCUCUUAAUCUUUUAUUCCUGGUAUCUGACUAUUUUGAAGUAUUAUGUAAUGCAAAAGUCCCGAGAUCAAUUAGCUAAUUCCUAAGUUAUUUCAUUACACUGUAAUGAAAUACCUGAAUGAAAUGUGUUUAGAUGUCUCAGACUGUAAGAACAAGAUACAAAGAAUCCCAUUCCUUGCCUAUUUUUAAUUAAAAAGGAAAAUGUUGCAAUGUUCCAUGUUAAGCACUAUCAGUGAGAAGGUCCUUAAAAAACAAAAUUAUUUUUGAGCAAUUGAAAGCUUCUAUACACUUUUAAGUAGCUUAUAUCUUAAUACUGAAAGCGUUUUUCUAAAUGGUAAGUCUUAAAAUAAUUCUGUGCAUCCUAUUACUGCCAGUGCUUCCCUAGAAUGCUCAAGCAAGGGUAUAAAAUAGUCAGAAGUGGCUGUCAGGUGCUUACCACUGCCUAGACAGGACGAUGAGUUGGUGUGGAUUUAGGAACAAAUGUACAUAUUUACACAUGUGGUCAUAUUGAGCCCCCAUCUAGACGGGAAAUAUUUCUUUCUACCUUUGCUUAAAUAUACACUAAAAUAGAUGAGUAAUGGUCUCCUUGUGGCCUAGGCUCACCUAAGUCUGCUUGUUUUAUAAGAGACAAUACUAAAAUUUGAAGGGUAUACAGAAGUACUUUCUCUUUGUGAAGUUAAGCUUGACGAGUGUCCCUCUCCUAAGAAACAAUAAUUUCUUAUAAGUCUUGUCAGUUGUAUAGACCUUUUCUGUGGCUAUGCUAAAUGAUUAGUUUUUAGUCUAUUCUGUUUUGUGUUAGGGGAUUGUGGUUUUAUGUCUGCCCUGUGCAAGAUUUCUAAUUUGCCUUUCUCAGGUUCGGUGUUUAAUGAUAUUCAGUACAGACUGAUUUCUGAAUGUUUACUUCUGUUUUCCUUAACCAGUAAGCUUGUUUACAUUUGAUAGUUUGGCAUGAUGUUAUCAGUGAGCUGUCUACACUUCCAGAAUUUCUGAAGGAAUCAAAAGCUAUCCUAGAAUUAGGGUUGGAGUUUUCCUUUCCAGAUUAAUUUAUCAUGCAAUAAAUGGCAUUAAAUUCCAAAUGCUGUUCUAUUCACAAGGAUCUUGUCAGAAUCAAGAUCUAUUGGGGUCUGCAGCCAGGGUUAGUUCUGAAUUUAUUUUUUUUUUUACUACUUUCAUUGCUGUCUACUUUCCACUUUUUUUUAAAUUUCUGUUUCUUAAAAGUUUCAAGAAGUUUUAAUUAAAGUGUUCUAGGAUAUACCUCUUUCUAUUGCUGACAACUAAAGUUUUGGUUUGUGUCGGUAUGUCUGAUGCAGAAGAUAACUUGUUCACAUUAGUGGCUUGCACAUAUAUUGGCACUACGGUAUAAAAGCUUCCCAAUGGAAUCACUGUUAAUGAAGUCAAUUUGCUGCUCCUUUAGAUGAAAUACCCACAUGCCACUAAGUGACAUAGCUGCAUACAAGGUCCAGCCUUUGCUGUUUUAUGAGGCAUCUGGUUAGAAAGGCUAGUAAAAAGAGAGUCUAUUCCAUACAUGAUCUACCAUUCUGAUUUCACACAGCAUAAAUGGAAUAAGUUUAGUGGGUUUAGAACGUCUAGAGAGAGAUCAAGAAUGAAGUAAAGUCUACUUGAGACUCCAUGGUGAACACUAUUAGUUUCAACAAUCUUGUUCUUCAAAUAACUAGGCAAACUUAAGGCAUUAUUCUUUAAAAACUGAUCUGGUUUAAUGCAAAAUUAAAGCAGAGAUAAUAUUUCCAACUAAAGUAUCAAAUUAUUUCACGUAUUAGUAAGACUUUAUAUCUUUUUACAUUUAGCUAUUUGUAAUCAUUAAGUUGGGGCCAUUGUUCCAUGCUGGAAGCUCAUUUUGAAGAAACACUCAUUGGAAUGAUAAAUCACUUGAGAAUGCUUUGUUCUGUGACUUCCCAUUAGUUUUUAUAAGAAAUGUCUUUUCAAUUAACUUUGACUUGCUCCUAUUCCAACUACAGGCUUUUGGGAAUGUAAAUAUGUCAGUUCAGGCAUCACUCACCUAACUACAUUUAUGAUAUAUCACAUUAAAGUAGUGAAGCAAAACAAAGGGAUUAGUAUUAAUCUAGGGUCUAAAUCCAGUACCUUCAUCGGUGUAAAUGAGCUCAUUUACCCAGACCACCACCUUGGGGGACUGUGUGCUUGGGCCUGUGCAGUUCACCUAGAAACCUGGUUGGUUUGAUGAAUGCCAUGCUCUAAGUGUGAAAACAUAUACAAUUCUCCCUUUUAUUACUCAUUGAAAAAGUGAAGACUAAUGGAAGAAAAAUAGCCAGGUUUGCCUGAGAAUAGUCAAGGGCUACUGAGUUGGCUUACAGCCUUGUUAUAGGCUAAAUGACAUGAAACCAUACUUGGUUAUUUUAUACAUUUCUAUAUGUAUGCUUUGUACAACAGGGGUUAUGUGAGAGAUUUGGGGAAAAUUAGAGGGAAGGAUAUAAUGUCGUUUUUAAUCUGUACACUUCUUUUUAUUCUGGCUAUUGAUAGCAAAUGUAGCUGCUUUGGGUUUUCUUUGACUAAAUUUGCAAGGGGGUUAAUACCAAACCCUGAAGAAUAUAAUUCUGGAAUAAUGUGCUUAGCCUUGGACAGUUUUCAAUACACAGGGCUACAGGAAGCAAUAUUGUGUUAUAUUCUGUGCAAGGAUUUGGCAAGGCAUAAAAAUGCUUUUUUGGAGUUGAUUUUGUUGUUGUUGUUUUGGGGGUUUUUUGUUUUGUUUACUUGUGAGACCAUCUUGAAAGUCGGGUACUCUGCAAGAAUUUUAGUUCUGAGGAGCUUAUCAAUAUCAGAGCUUGUGUGACUUCUGUUUAGGAACAGAGAUUUGUGAUCUCAGGGGUUUGUAGUGCAUUGUUUUUAAUAACCUGAAGUUUGGAUGCAGGCAUUAAUUCAUCUUAAAAUAAGCUUUAUGACUCUUUGUGGCCUUACAUUAACAAAUCAGCCUAACUGAUAUUCGAUAGGAAGCUUGGAGGUAAUACUCAAGUAGCAAUGGCUUCUUGCUGUCCUAGCUGUUCUUGAGUUGAUGGUUAGUUGACUGCCUCUUCCCUACUUUUCUUCAUGCUUUCCCUUAAUGUUACAGUUGUAUCCAAGAUAUUCAGUUCAUGCAAAGAGGGUGAGAAUGCUGGCUGAGUGCACUAGAGACAAAGAAACAGUGUGCGUGCAUCCUGUGCAUUCUAGUUCGGAUCAAUGCAGGCAGACAUUUCUUACCACACUAGAGUUUAUGACACGUAAAAAUCCUGUUUAUGCUUGUUACAUCUCAGAUUUAUAUAAGCCACAUUUUCUUAAAAUGUUCUACUUUGGGUUUCAGAUUCAAGUCUCGUUGGAUUUUUCCACACACCAAUACUUUGCUUACCUUGGUAACAUUUGUUGCUGCAGAGAGGACUUUUUCUGUUCAGUGGACUUUGAUGUAAAGCUCAGAGAUUUCCUUCUAUGCUUUGAUAAUAAAAUUCUACAGCUUUGACUCAAUGCAUAAAUAAUGAACACUGUAAAACUCAGAAUACUCAUAAUUUUUCAGUUUAAAAAAUACAGAAGCUGUCAACAAUGACUUGUCAUCUUCAGA